RNAcentral lists this unclassified non-coding RNA (217 nucleotides) under Hevea brasiliensis (rubber tree). Lineage: Eukaryota; Viridiplantae; Streptophyta; Magnoliopsida; Malpighiales; Euphorbiaceae. The record is from RNAcentral.
AGAGAGAAUUACAGUGGCACCCUAUCAAACAGAAGUUAAAUGUCUCAGAAUCACAGCACAUGGAGACAGAAACCUAUUCUCAGAGUUGUAGACUUGACUAUUAUCAAAUGAUGAAACAUUGGCCGCUCCCUUUUUCAAGAGGAAAUUAGUAUGAAAACAUCAUGUUCAUACUUAUAUCCAUGCACCACAAAAUGUAAAUAAUUCAAGAAAAACAGCA